RNAcentral lists this long non-coding RNA (387 nucleotides) under Malus domestica (apple). RNAcentral describes it as "long non-coding RNA (MDOM_LNC005900)". Lineage: Eukaryota; Viridiplantae; Streptophyta; Magnoliopsida; Rosales; Rosaceae. The record is from RNAcentral.
GGGAGUUUAAAGGAAAGAUUCGUCCCGCUAAAGACGUUAAAUCAAGCGCUUCUUGGGAGGCAACCCAAGCAUUCAACGAAGGGAGACUUUGGAAUCGCUAACCAAAUCAGAUUUGAAUUCUUACACCCUUAUCUUUACUGCUUUCAUUUUGUUUUGUUUAGUUAGUUGUGUUAUUUGGUUGAUUUCUGUGAGUUUGUGUUAUUUAGUUUAAGUGUGGGGGAAGGUUAACCAAAGUCUUUUUACAUUGAUUUACAUAUUUUACAUUGAUUUAAAAAAAAAAAAAAAAAAAAAAAAAAAAAAAAAAAAAAAACAAAAAAAACAAAAACACCUAAAAAAAAAAACAUUAAAGUAAAAAUAUUUUACAAUGAUGUGUAAACUAAUAGCAUU